AACGAACGCUGGCGGCAUGCCUAACACAUGCAAGUCGAACGAGACCUUCGGGUCUAGUGGCGCACGGGUGCGUAACGCGUGGGAACCUGCCCUUAGGUUCGGAAUAACUCCCCGAAAGGGGUGCUAAUACCGGAUAAUGUCUUCGGACCAAAGAUUUAUCGCCUUUGGAUGGGCCCGCGUUGGAUUAGCUAGUUGGUAGGGUAAAAGCCUACCAAGGCGACGAUCCAUAGCUGGUCUGAGAGGAUGAUCAGCCACACUGGGACUGAGACACGGCCCAGACUCCUACGGGAGGCAGCAGUGGAGAAUAUUGGACGAUGGGCGAAAGCGUGAUCCAGCAAUGCCGCGUGAGUGAGGAAGGCCUUAGGGUUGUAAAGCUCUUUUACCCGGGAUGAGAAUGACAGUACCGGGAGAAUAAGCUCCGGCUAACUCCGUG
This 433-nucleotide ribosomal RNA is filed under the name uncultured bacterium. Its description in RNAcentral is "partial 16S ribosomal RNA". It matches the Rfam family "Bacterial small subunit ribosomal RNA", at positions 29 to 507 of the family's 1533-position model. The record is from RNAcentral.